RNAcentral lists this long non-coding RNA (1134 nucleotides) under Oryctolagus cuniculus (rabbit). Its description in RNAcentral is "lncRNA (ENSOCUG00000032276.1)". The record is from RNAcentral. Lineage: Eukaryota; Metazoa; Chordata; Mammalia; Lagomorpha; Leporidae.
AUGGCCACCCCACCGCCGCCAGGGCCCUUUCCCCGGCAGGGCCCCAGCCCAGGCCUCCCUCGCCUUGCAGCCCCUCCCACCAGGGGCCUAGUCCCUGUCUCCCCACUUGCUGGGUGUAGGAGGCACACGGGGGCUGUCUGGGGGGGCUCCCACCCCUGUGGGGCUCGGGGAGCCUGGGCAUGCGAGGAGGGACCCCUGUGUGUCCCCCACCCCGGGUGCUCUGAGGGCUCCGGGGCGGGCCCAAGAGGGGUCAGCAGGUCUCCCGCACUCGGCCCCACCCAGCCAGCCUUGCGGGGCCCCCAGGGCCUCUUCCGCCCCGAGUGGCGCACCUGCUCCCGGGCAGCUCCUGGCCCACCCUCGGACCCUGGGCCAGCGACAUCUCAGCUGGGUUCGGCCACUUUGGCCAGAGGAGGCUGGGGGCGGGGGAGGGCUCGGGAACAGCCCAGGGCCCUCAGGCCUCCUGUGCUGCUGGGAGGAGGGUGGGGGGCAGCGGGCGGGGCUGCAGAGGGGCGGGUGACCGAGCCCGGGGCCUCUGGCUGCUCUGUGCCUUCCCCGCUCCAGGCCCGGGCGGGCAGAGGCACCCAGGCCCCCGCGGUGGAGCAGAGUUCCGGCGGGGAGGGCCUGGGAAGCUCCUUCCCCUCUGUGCGGAAGGGAGGUCCCUGCGGAGGGCCUGGGUGCCGCGGGCAUCCACAGGAAAGGGGAUGUGCUGGUGGCUGGCCCGGGGAGCCGCCGCCACGCCCUGCGCGGGGACAAAGCUCCAGGGCAGCCUGCGGGCCCCUGCCCUGCGCCAGCAGCCAGAACCGUGUAUUCCUCUCUCUAGCGACUGCUUCUUGGAACUCACACCCUCUCGGGUUUGCUAUUUUUACCCACCCUGAGCCUUCCGGUCUCCAUGGCGACGCCUCCAAACAGCAGACUCCGGGCGGCAAUGAUGUCACCGUUCCCCUUCCUGGAGCCCAGGCCUCCAAGGCGCUGCUGCCUGAGGCCGAGGGACCCCUCCCACACCCUGCUCAGGCCUCCCCCAGGGAUCCAAGGGUCUGUGGGCCACAGCCGGGCACGGUCAGGACCCCAGGCCAGUGUCCAGCCUUGUCCUGCCCCUUCAAGCAGCCCUGCUGUGGGGUGGCAGGGGACAUCUGA